This 494-nucleotide RNase MRP RNA is filed under the name Rhizoctonia solani. RNAcentral's name for it is "RNase MRP". It matches the Rfam family "RNase MRP". Rfam says of the family: RNase MRP is an enzymatically active ribonucleoprotein with two distinct roles in eukaryotes. In mitochondria it plays a direct role in the initiation of mitochondrial DNA replication. Lineage: Eukaryota; Fungi; Basidiomycota; Agaricomycetes; Cantharellales; Ceratobasidiaceae. The record is from Rfam by way of RNAcentral.
GCACCAUCCAGAGAAUCGCUGUCGCAGCUCACGUACUGAAAGCCAUCGUGCUUUCUCACCUUUUGCUGUGGGGAAAGUCCCCGGAGACCGACAGAGCCGCCCGUCAAAUGCCGGAGUCCAGCCCAUCACACUUGAGGAAAGCGCCUGUCCCGAGGCACGACAGGAAGUGUGAUCUCCGUGUACCAGACGGAUGCAUUGGCGUCACUUGUUAUAUCACUUGCGAAGCAGUGCAUGUGACUCGAACGACGCGCUCUGCCUCGCCGUGCAUGCUGGAUGUCCGCGUAGCAUCUUUCAGUUCCGCAAAGUCCGACCACGAUAUUAUGCGCUGGCGAAGAUAGGAGCCGUGCGGAUUCGUGCAGGAUGGGGCUGGGAUGAAGCUGCCCGGAUAAUGGUUGCCGGAACCGUGUUGCUCAUAGCCGAUAGUUAUGCGAUUGCGUCCAUGCUGGCUUCGGUCAGUACGGUCGUAACCCAAUGGGGCUCAUUCCUGAAUGGUG